UUCCCUGGCGGACCGUAAGGGGCGGGGCCUACGGGGAGCGGAGGAAUUAAAAGAAACUGGGCGGGCCUUAAGUAAACUUGGGGGCUUGGGCUUGGUGGGCGAGGUCUUAAGGAGCGAGUAGCCGGUGUGGGAGCGGUAUUUUGGCCGCGGGAGAGCUGGUACCGAGUGGGCGGGGCCAUUGUGAGGGGGAGACCGGCGUGGAAUUGUUAGCUCGCUCACUUAUGCUAUGCAGCAUGGAGCAUCGAACUCUAGCUUCUUUCCCGGCACUGUGGGCCUCCAUCCCCUGUCCACGUUCGGAGCUGCGCCUGGACCUGGUUCUGGCUUCCGGACAGUCUUUCCGGUGGAGGGAACAAAACCCGGCGCAUUGGACUGGCGUGCUGGCGAACCAGGUAUGGACACUGACUCAGACUGAGGAGCAGCUCUACUGUACUGUGUACCGAGGCGAUAAGGGAUGGGUUGGCAGACCCACACCAGAAGAGCUAAAGACUGUGUACCAGUACUUCCAGCUGGAUGUCAGCCUGGCUCAACUUUAUCACCAUUGGAGUUCCGUGGACCCCCACUUUCAAGAGGUGGCUCAGAAAUUCCAAGGUGUGCGACUCCUACAACAGGACCCCAUCGAGUGCCUUUUCUCCUUCAUCUGUUCCUCCAACAACAACAUUGCUCGCAUAACUGGCAUGGUAGAACGACUCUGUGAGGCCUUUGGACCUCGGCUCAUCCAGCUUGAUGAUGUCACCUACCAUGGCUUCCCUAGCCUGCAGGCCCUGGCUGGGCCAGAGGUAGAGGUGCAGCUCAGGACGCUGGGCCUGGGGUACCGUGCCCGCUAUGUGAGUGCCAGUGCCCGAGCCAUCCUAGAAGAACAGGGCGGGCUGCCCUGGCUGCAGCAGCUGCGCAAGGCCCCCUACGAGGAGACCCACAAGGCCCUCUGCACUUUGCCCGGGGUGGGCACCAAGGUGGCUGACUGCAUCUGCUUGAUGGCCCUAGACAAGCCCCAGGCCGUGCCUAUAGAUGUCCACAUGUGGCAGAUCGCCCAGCGUGACUAUAGCUGGCACCCCACCACAUCUCAGGCCAAGGGUCCAAGCCCCCAGGCUAACAAGGAACUGGGAACCCAGAGCUGCCACCAAGAGCAGUGUCUGUUCCACCCACUGUUGGCCAGAGUGAAAAGAUGGGCCAGACUGGGCUAUGGCAAGUCUGCCACGGGGCUGGAACUCUAGGAAACAGGAAGCAGUGAUCGACUGACCAGAGGAAGUACCACCCUGGAUUCAGCUUCCCCAGCCAGCCAGUCCCAAGAGUAACAGAAUCCCAACCAAAGCCAGCUUCAUCAGAGAGGUUAACUGUGACUCCAACAGCUGAUUGCAAGACUGAAGGAAGAACACCAUGGAUCAGGAUCUUGGCACAGAAUUUGCUUUCUUGCAUCUCUCCUUGUCUCGAUUUCUCUGCAUGUUGGCUUCCCUUCUACUGCAGGGUGAUCACUCUGCCUGGCAGAAAACAUGGUGUGAGGCAGACCCAGCUUUCCAAAUGAACCCAGCAGGAGAGCUAUACCCAGUUUCAUGUAUCAGUCUCAGGGAAGGACUCUGACGAGUUGUAUUAGAGUAACAUGCCUACUGCUUGGCCCCAAAUAAACUAUUGCCAAGGAAA
RNA transcript from Neogale vison (American mink), 1635 nucleotides. It is a transcript of the gene named 8-oxoguanine DNA glycosylase, with no coding region annotated. The record is from RefSeq and is a predicted model, not a curated record. The transcript is spliced from 7 exons. Lineage: Eukaryota; Metazoa; Chordata; Mammalia; Carnivora; Mustelidae.